GUUGGAGUCUAUCCCAGUGGGGACUUUUCUGUAGCUACGCAUCAUUGGAAAUGCCUCACAGAGUAACUCUGUGGUUCUGCUUUACUCACAGGACUAUGUAUUAGGUAGGUAUUGGCAUAUCCUU
RNAcentral lists this small nucleolar RNA (124 nucleotides) under Otolemur garnettii (small-eared galago). The record is from RNAcentral. Lineage: Eukaryota; Metazoa; Chordata; Mammalia; Primates; Galagidae.